GUAACAACUGUUGCCUAUGUUUACAGCAGGCUAAAUGAGGAAAUGCCAGCUGUAUGACUUUAUUUCAUGCGCGUUUUGGGAUAGGCGGUGAAGUUAAGAGCAAUGUUUUGCGGGCAGGGGCCGAUCUCACAAAGUACAUUCUCAUGGGGAGAAUUACAAAGAACCUUCUUAAGGGCAAGGAAGUGCAACUUUUUUUUGUUAUUGUACACCUUGAAGGUGAGAUUAAUCAAGUCCCGUUGUGGGGUUUGAGGGCCAG
This 256-nucleotide long non-coding RNA is filed under the name Homo sapiens (human). Its description in RNAcentral is "non-protein coding lnc-FBP2-2:1". The record is from RNAcentral. Lineage: Eukaryota; Metazoa; Chordata; Mammalia; Primates; Hominidae.